This 460-nucleotide ribosomal RNA is filed under the name uncultured bacterium. RNAcentral describes it as "partial 16S ribosomal RNA". It matches the Rfam family "Bacterial small subunit ribosomal RNA", at positions 338 to 795 of the family's 1533-position model. The record is from RNAcentral.
CCUACGGGUGGCAGCAGUGAGGAAUAUUGGUCAAUGGGCGCGAGCCUGAACCAGCCAAGUAGCGUGACGGAUGACUGCCCUACGGGUUGUAAACUUCUUUUAUAAAGGAAUAAAGUGAGGCACGUGUGCCUUUUUGUAUGUACUUUAUGAAUAAGGAUCGGCUAACUCCAGGCCAGCAGCCGCGGUAAUACGGAGGAUCCGAGCGUUAUCCGGAUUUAUUUGGUUGAAAGGGAGCGUAGAUGGGUUGGUAAGUCAGUUGUGAAAGUUUGCGGCGCAACCGUAAAAUUGCAAUUGAUACUGGCAGUCUUGAGUACAGUUGAGGUAGGCGGAAUUCGUGGUGUAGCGGUGAAAUGCUUAGAUAUCACGAAGAACUCCGAUUGCGAAGGCAGCUUACUAAACUGACACUGACAUUGAUGCUCGAAAGUGUGGGUAUCAAACAGGAUUAGAUACCCCAGUAGUC